This 96-nucleotide small RNA is filed under the name Vulpes vulpes (red fox). RNAcentral describes it as "TUC338 (ENSVVUG00000014300.1)". RNAcentral also lists the same sequence under 1 other name. Lineage: Eukaryota; Metazoa; Chordata; Mammalia; Carnivora; Canidae. The record is from RNAcentral.
CAGGAGAGGCAAAAUACAGGCAGUAACCGUGGGAGCUUUUCUCACAUGGGUCCCCUCUGUGUGCCUCAACCCUGACCCGGGGGGACUCCCUCUAGA